Vidua macroura (Pin-tailed whydah) is the source of this 381-nucleotide long non-coding RNA. RefSeq lists it as uncharacterized. The record is from RefSeq and is a predicted model, not a curated record. Lineage: Eukaryota; Metazoa; Chordata; Aves; Passeriformes; Viduidae. The transcript is spliced from 3 exons.
CUGGGUGUGUCCAGUUUUACCCCAGGUGUGUCCUGGGUGUGCCUCAGGUGCAUCCAGGUGUGUCCCAGGUGUGUCACAGUGUGCUUCAGGUGUGCCCAGGUGUGUCCCAAGUGUGCCCAGUUCUACCCCGGUGUGCCAAGGUGUUCUCAGGUGAAAUCCAGGUGUAUCCCAGCUGUGCCCAGGUGUCCCCAGGUGUGCCCAGUUCCACCCAGGUGUACCCAGGUGUACCCUGGUAUAAUUCAGCUGUGCCCAGGUGUAUCCCAGGUGUACUCCAGGUUUAUUCCAGGUGUGCCCAGGUGUGCCCUGCUGUACCCUGGUGUGCCCAGGUGUAUCCAGGUGUGCCUAGGUGUAACUCAGCUGCAUUCAGAUGUAUCCCAGAUG